Mercurialis annua (annual mercury) is the source of this 4754-nucleotide RNA transcript. It is a transcript of the gene named disease resistance-like protein DSC1, with no coding region annotated. The record is from RefSeq and is a predicted model, not a curated record. Lineage: Eukaryota; Viridiplantae; Streptophyta; Magnoliopsida; Malpighiales; Euphorbiaceae. The transcript is spliced from 7 exons.
UCCAAAUAAAGAAAGCAAUUGGAUUUGGUGGAAGAAAUAAGUUGAAGAAAAUUGCAAUCGACGACGGAGAGGAAAAAUGGCAUCGGCGAUGUCCGGCGAAGGGAGGAGUUUGAAGUACGACGCGUUCCUUAAUUUCAGAGGCGCAGACACGCGGCAUAACUUUGUGAGCCAUCUCUACGAUGCUCUAAGACGAAAGGGAAUCACAACUUUCAUGGACCAUGGAAUCCAGAGAGCGGAGGACGUCAGUUCAUCGCUCCUCAAAGCAAUUGAAGAGUCCCGUAGUUCAAUAGUGAUUUUUUCAAAGAAUUACGCAGCUUCUCCCUGGUGCUUGGAUGAACUUGUGAAAAUUUUGGAAUGCAAAAGACGGGCGGGACAAAGGGUUUUACCAGUCUUCUACGAUAUUGAUCCGUCGGAGGUAAACUCUCUGCGGGGGAGUUACGGGGAAGCGCUUUCUCAACUUAAAAUUCGAUAUCCCGACAAGAUGCAUAGCUGGGCGGAUGCUUUGAGAGCGGUUUCCAACCUCAGCGGAUUGGUUUCAGGGGAUACUCGCCCUGAAUCUUUGCUUGUCCAUGAUAUUGUUACCUAUGUUUCCAAGACAUUGCCCCAACCAUCAUGCAACCUCCACGACGAUGGCUUAAUUGGAAUCGACUCGCGUGUUCGACAAGUGGAAUCAUUGCUUUGCCUGGAUUCGUUUGAUACCCGCAUUAUCGGAAUCUGGGGAAUGGGAGGCAUAGGUAAGACUACCAUCGCUAAAGCUGUUUUCGACCGACUGCGUGGAAACUUUGACAACUGCUGCUUUUUCACGGAGAACUUGAGAAAAUCUCCACCUCUGCAUUUGGAAAGGGAAUCUCUUUGUGAUAAAACUCCCACGCGUAAAAAAGUUCUUAUUGUUCUUGAUGAUGUCGAUAAAACAGUCGAUUUUAACUCCUUACUUGGAGGGCUGGAUCGGUUCGCACCUGGGAGUAGAAUCAUUGUAACAUCCCGGGACAGACAUGUGCUUGAAUUUUGUAGAGUGAACAGUGUGUACGAGGUUCAAGCAUUGAACAACCAUGAAUCUCUGCAGCUCCUUUGCCUUUCUGCUUUUAAAGGGAGCUUGCCACUUGAAAGUUAUAGGGAUCUCUUAAACAGGGUCACAACAUAUGCUAAGGGGCUUCCCCUGGCUCUUAAGAUAUGUGGUUCCUAUCUCUUUGGAAGAAGCGAAAUAGAAUGGGAAAGUGCAUUGAAUAAAUUGCAAACCUGCUUUGAUUCUCGGAUUCAGCAGGUGCUGUGCAUAAGCUAUGACAAACUAGAUAACCAUGAAAAGGAGAUUUUCCUUGAUAUUGCAUGCUUCUUCAGGGGUCAAGGCAUAGAUCGUGUCAAGGAAAUUCUAUAUGACUCCGGAUUUGAUGUGGAUAUAGGAAUCGCUUCUCUUCUUAAUAAAUCUCUAAUAUCUAUCUUUGAUAAAAAGCUUGAAAUGCAUGAUUUGCUACAGCAUAUGGGUAGGCAAAUUGUUCGCCAAGAGUCCGCUUCUAAGCUGGGCAGCCGUAGCAGGUUAUGGGACUCCAACGAUAUUUAUCAGGUGUUGGCUUAUAAUCAGGGGACUGAAGCAGUGAGGGGUAUAAACUUAGAUGUGUCCAGAAUACGCAAGCUGAACAUAAGCUCUCAUGCAUUCACAAAGAUGCGCAAUCUUAAAUUCCUGAAGUUCUAUACUCCCUUUACUAAAUCCGUGGAAGACGACAGCUCAUUGUAUGCUUUGGAAGGCCUUGUUCAUCUUCCUGCCAGCCUUAGACUACUUCAUUGGCAAAGCUAUCCAUCCAAGUCCCUGCCAUCAAAUUUUGAUCCAAGUCGGCUUGUUGAUCUUAACUUGUGCUUUAGCAAUCUCGAGCUUCUUUGGGAGGGAACCAAGUGCCUUCAUAAUUUGAAGCGAAUCGACUUGAGUCACUCCAAACGCUUAGUGAAAAUGCCAGACUUUUCAUUGGCCCCAAAUCUUGAGAGUAUGAGUCUUGAAAGCUGCUCAUCUUUAUCUGAAGUUCACUCCUCCAUUCAACAUCUCAACAAGCUUGCAAUCCUCAAUUUGAAAGACUGCAUUAAACUCAAGUCUCUUUCAAUUACAACGAAUUUGGUAUCUCUCGAAAUGCUCAAUAUAUCUGGCUGUUCAAGGAUCAACAAGCUCGGAGGAAGCUCACCAAAUAUAAAAAGUUUAUUCCUGGAUGGGACUGUAAUAAGAGAACUUCCCCAAUCAAUUCAGCAUGUCAGGAAACUUGUUUGCUUGAGUCUCAAAAACUGCAAAUUGCUGAAGACACUUCCUAGUGAAAUAUGUAACUUGCAAUCACUCAAGACUCUUAAUCUCUUAGGAUGUUCAAGGCUGGAGAAUUUUCCUGAGAUUUUGGAGCCUAUGAAGAAUCUUGAGAUUCUUAGGCUGGAUGGGACAGCCAUUAGAGAGGUACCUAAGACCAGAGAAAUGGAUAAUCUUAAAAUCUUGUCAUUUGGAGAUUGCAAUCUGUUUGAAAUCCCCAAUGAUAUUUGCCGAUUUUCCUCGAUAGAGCAUUUAAAUCUCUCUGGAAAUAACUUUUCUAGCUUACCUUUGAACAUUAAACAAAUGAUUCAGCUUAAAUUACUUGAUUUAAGUUCCUGCACUAAUCUUCGAUCGUUGCCAGAGCUACCUUCACAUAUAGAAUAUCUAAAUGCACAUGAUUGUACAUCUUUAGAAAAUGUAUCGAUUCCGUCAAGUGUGCUCACAGUGUCAGAAUGGAGCCGUCCUAUGUUUUUGUUUACAAAUUGCUUCAAAUUGGAUUUCAGUGCUCUGCUGAAUAGCCAGUUUAUACAUGAUCAGGGGUCUGCAGUGUUGCCAUCUUCUGGUAUUUGCUUUCCUGGAAGUAAAAUCCCAGAGCAAAUUAGCCAUCAAAGUGUUGGGUGUUCAAUGGCUGUUUCACUUCCUGAGCAUUGGAUUAAUGGUAAUUUUAGGGGAUUUGCGCUAGCAGCUGUUCUUGGAUUUAAGGACUACCUUGACAAUCAUGGUUUUUUUGUUAAAUGCAAAAUCAAAUUAAGAACCAAGCACGAAGAAAAUAUAUCUCUGCAACAUGAUUUCAUCAUUUUCCAUGGGCGUUCUGGCCAUUGGAAUAGCUCCAGAAUCCUAGGGUCUGAUCAUGUCUUCCUGAGUUACAAUCACUAUAUCAAUCUAGUGGAAAUAUUGGGAGAUAUAUGGCAGAACGAAAGCUGUCAUAGUACAGCCUUGUUUGACUUUUAUGCUGUGGACAGUAUAGGAAGGCCAUUGCAGGGUUGCGAAGUUCGAGAGUGUGGAUUCAGUUUACAACUUGCUGAAGAUGAGAAUGAGUACAAUCCAAGUCGUUGUUACUAUUAGAAACGUAUAUAUGCAUCAGCCAUCCCGAGGUAUCAUUGUAUUAUUAUCUUUUGCAUAACACGGCUUCCCACUGAUUCCUUCUUCCGGCCAGGUAAAUGUGACGUGUAGUUGACACCUGUAACCACUUUUCCCGGGUAUCGGCAUUUAGACUAAUUUUUACAUGUGCUACCUGACUUCAAGGCUUCUGUCCGUGGCAGUUCCCAAUUUUUAACUGGUAUUGUACCACUCAAUAUUUUAAAUAGUAACUACAAAAACCUUGUUUCUUAAUUCCUGGCAGAAACGAUAUGUCAUCAUAGCUUGACGUAGGUUUAAUUUGCUUGCUAAGUGGCACAGACACUUCAUUCUAUCAGCAUUUUCCGGUUUGGAAACGUGUCAAAAAUUUGACUUUUCGGACACUAAAUUUCAUUUUUAGCAUAGGAAACAUAGUAUGCUUGAGUUUUAAAGAUUCAUAUUUUAGAGGUGAAAUUGAGCUUAUAGGAAUUAGUGUUUUCAAAAGUUAUGUGAAAGAAAUUGGGUUUUAGGGAUGGCCAUGGAAAAGAAGCUUAAAGUCAGGUGUGGCAGAUGAAUUGACCAAAACUUUUGUUGAGGAUGGAAUAAAGAUGGAAGCGAUGUAGGCUGAGGAUUGAAAGGCUUUGAUAGUCAUUUCCAGGAAAAGUUGUGAAGAUUUUGUUAGCACCAAGAGAUGGAAGCAUUUACAGAAGCAGAUCACUUGUUUUUUAUAGUAUGAACUAUGAAGUCAGACUCGGGUGGAUGGAAGCAUUUACAGAAGCAGAGCAUCAUCCAAGUGGAUUGCCUGGGUUUGUUCAUUUCACCACUUAUCUUGCUACUAUAUGAAUCUAUGUCAGGCUGUCUGGAGGUCCCUUCGGUCAUGCUCGCAACUUCCUUGUCAUGGAUAGUGUUAAUGCUGGCAUAUCCUGUGUCAUGAAAAUAAUUAGAGGCUAGGAAUACGUUCAAUCCCGGUCCAAUUUUGAAUCAAAGAAAGAACGUGAUAAAUUUGAAUCUGUUUGCAUUAUUUCCAGCAACUUUCCGGAAAACUGUUUGUCGUUUGAUAUGAGGAAGGGAUGGGUGAGAUUGGGAGUGAAGAUAAUGAUGAUGAUUGGGCAUGAAUAUAAGAGUAAUUGCACAAAAUUUGGAUGAUAUGGCUGCCACGUGGACCAAAAAAGUGUGCCAAUAAUAUUUAGGGUAUAAUCGAAACACGAAAAUGCAAAAGUGGGUAAAAUUGGUGAUUUUUCAACGUCGGGGUGGAAUUGAAAAAGGGCUAAAAGGUAGAGUUUUUAAGACAUUAGGCCUUUUCUUGGUAAUUGAAUUUUAUCGUUAUUUUGUUUGUUUUCGAUUUGAUUGGAAUUUAAAUUUUAGGGUUUUGAAAAAAUUGGAUUUAUAAUGAAACUCACCGAGAAUUUGGUGUUGAUUGGAA